CAGCCUUGCCGCGUGUGUGAAGAAGGCCUUAGGUUUGUAAAGCACUUUCAGUGGGGAAGAAAGCCUUCCGGCUAAUACCCGGGAGGAAGGACAUCACCCACAGAAGAAGCACCGGCUAACUCCGUGCCAGCAGCCGCGGUAAUACGGAGGGUGCGAGCGUUAAUCGGAAUUACUGGGCGUAAAGCGCGCGUAGGUGGCUUGAUAAGCCGGUUGUGAAAGCCCUGGGCUCAACCUGGGAACGGCAUCCGGAACUGUCAGGCUAGAGUGCAGGAGAGGAAGGUAGAAUUCCCGGUGUAGCGGUGAAAUGCGUAGAGAUCGGGAGGAAUACCAGUGGCGAAGGCGGCCUUCUGGACUGACACUGACACUGAGGUGCGAAAGCGUGGGUAGCAAACAGGAUUAGAUACCCUGGUAGUCCACGCCGUAAACGAUGUCGACUAGCCGUUGGGUCCUUCGCGGACUUUGUGGCGCAGUUAACGCGAUAAGUCGACCGCC
This 492-nucleotide ribosomal RNA is filed under the name gamma proteobacterium I-23. Its description in RNAcentral is "bacterial SSU rRNA". It matches the Rfam family "Bacterial small subunit ribosomal RNA", at positions 389 to 873 of the family's 1533-position model. Lineage: Bacteria; Pseudomonadati; Pseudomonadota; Gammaproteobacteria. The record is from RNAcentral.